RNAcentral lists this ribosomal RNA (253 nucleotides) under uncultured bacterium. RNAcentral's name for it is "partial 16S ribosomal RNA". It matches the Rfam family "Bacterial small subunit ribosomal RNA", at positions 524 to 776 of the family's 1533-position model. The record is from RNAcentral.
UACGAAGGGGGCUAGCGUUGCUCGGAAUCACUGGGCGUAAAGGGUGCGUAGGCGGGUUUUUAAGUCAGGGGUGAAAUCCUGAAGCUCAACUCCAGAACUGCCUUUGAUACUGAAGAUCUUGAGUCCGGGAGAGGUGAGUGGAACUGCGAGUGUAGAGGUGAAAUUCGUAGAUAUUCGCAAGAACACCAGUGGCGAAGGCGGCUCACUGGCCCGGUACUGACGCUGAGGCACGAAAGCGUGGGGAGCAAACAGG